RNAcentral lists this ribosomal RNA (253 nucleotides) under uncultured Pseudomonadota bacterium. RNAcentral describes it as "uncultured proteobacterium partial 16S ribosomal RNA". It matches the Rfam family "Bacterial small subunit ribosomal RNA", at positions 524 to 776 of the family's 1533-position model. The record is from RNAcentral. Lineage: Bacteria; Pseudomonadati; Pseudomonadota.
UACAGAGGGUGCGAGCGUUAAUCGGAAUUACUGGGCGUAAAGCGAGCGCAGGCGGUUUGUUAAGUCAGAUGUGAAAGCCCCGAGCUCAACUUGGGAAUUGCGUUUGAAACUGGCAGGCUAGAGUGUGUCAGAGGGGGGUAGAAUUCCACGUGUAGCGGUGAAAUGCGUAGAGAUCUGGAGGAAUACCGAUGGCGAAGGCAGCCAUCUGGCCUAAUACUGACACUGAGGUACGAAAGCAUGGGGAGCAAACAGG